GGGCCUGUCGUUCAAUGGACAGGACUUCCGGCUACGAACCGGACGAUGAGGGUUCGACUCCUUCCGGGCCCACCA
Molecule: transfer RNA, 75 nt
Filed under: Comamonas odontotermitis
Lineage: Bacteria; Pseudomonadati; Pseudomonadota; Betaproteobacteria; Burkholderiales; Comamonadaceae
Description: tRNA-Arg
Rfam family: tRNA
About the family: Transfer RNA (tRNA) molecules are approximately 80 nucleotides in length. Their secondary structure includes four short double-helical elements and three loops (D, anti-codon, and T loops).
Source: RNAcentral